RNAcentral lists this ribosomal RNA (491 nucleotides) under uncultured bacterium. RNAcentral's name for it is "partial 16S ribosomal RNA". It matches the Rfam family "Bacterial small subunit ribosomal RNA", at positions 29 to 507 of the family's 1533-position model. The record is from RNAcentral.
AUGAACGCUAGCUACAGGCUUAACACAUGCAAGUCGAGGGGAAACGGCAUCGAAAGCUUGCUUUUGAUGGGCGUCGACCGGCGCACGGGUGAGUAACGCGUAUCCAACCUGCCCAUCACUUGGGAAUAACCUUGCGAAAGUAAGACUAAUGCCCAAUGACAUCCCACGAAGGCAUCCGAAUGGGAUUAAAGAUUUAUCGGUGAUGGAUGGGGAUGCGUCUGAUUAGCUUGUUGGCGGGGUGACGGCCCACCAAGGCAACGAUCAGUAGGGGUUCUGAGAGGAAGGUCCCCCACAUUGGAACUGAGACACGGUCCAAACUACUACGGGAGGCAGCAGUGAGGAAUAUUGGUCAAUGGGCGAGAGCCUGAACCAGCCAAGUAGCGUGCAGGAUGACGGCCCUAUGGGUUGUAAACUGCUUUUAUAAGGGAAUAAAGUGGGUCACGUGUGACUUUUUGCAUGUACCUUAUGAAUAAGGACCGGCUAAUUCCGUG